UGCAUUCACUACUGUAAGUCGCUCUGGAUAAGAGCGUCUGCUAGAUGACUAAAA
Molecule: non-coding RNA, 54 nt
Organism: Salmo salar (Atlantic salmon)
Lineage: Eukaryota; Metazoa; Chordata; Actinopteri; Salmoniformes; Salmonidae
Source: Rfam